Pseudocercospora musae is the source of this 85-nucleotide transfer RNA. It matches the Rfam family "tRNA". Rfam says of the family: Transfer RNA (tRNA) molecules are approximately 80 nucleotides in length. Their secondary structure includes four short double-helical elements and three loops (D, anti-codon, and T loops). The record is from Rfam. NCBI's taxonomy places the organism in Eukaryota, Fungi, Ascomycota, Dothideomycetes, Mycosphaerellales, Mycosphaerellaceae.
AGGGAGGUCCUAUUUGUUGGUAUGAUGGGUUGAGCUGUAAACUCAAUAGCUAAGGCUGUCAAAGGUUCGAUUCCUUUUCUUCCUA